GAUAUCAGAUUAGCUUGUUGGUGAGGUAAAAGCUCACCAAGGCGACGAUCUGUAGCGGGUCUGAGAGGAUGAUCCGCCACACUGGAACUGAGGCACGGUCCAGACUCCUACGGGAGGCAGCAGUGGGGAAUUUUGGACAAUGGGGGCAACCCUGAUCCAGCCAUGCCGCGUGAGUGAAGAAGGCCUUCGGGUUGUAAAGCUCUUUCAGCCGGGAAGAAAACGCAUGGGUUAAUACCCUGUGUGGAUGACGGUACCGGAAUAAGAAGCACCGGCUAACUACGUGCCAGCAGCCGCGGUAAUACGUAGGGUGCGAGCGUUAAUCGGAAUUACUGGGCGUAAAGCGUGCGCAGGCGGUUUUGUAAGACAGGCGUGAAAUCCCCGGGCUUAACCUGGGAACUGCGUUUGUGACUGCAAGGCUAGAGUACGGCAGAGGGGGGUGGAAUUCCACGUGUAGCAGUGAAAUGCGUAGAGAUGUGGAGGAACACCAAUGGCGAAGGCAGCCCCCUGGGUCGAUACUGACGCUCAUGCACGAAAGCGUGGGUAGCAAACAGGAUUAGAUACCCUGGUAGUCCACGCCCUAAACGAUGUCAACUAGGUGUUGGGAGGGUAAAACCUUUUAGUACCGGAGCUAACGCGUGAAGUUGACCGCCUGGGGAGUACGGCCGCAAGGUUAAAACUCAAAGGAAUUGACGGGGACCCGCACAAGCGGUGGAUGAUGUGGAUUAAUUCGAUGCAACGCGAAAAACCUUACCUACCCUUGACAUGCCAAGAACUUUCCAGAGAUGGAUUGGUGCCCGAAAGGGAACUUGGACACAGGUGCUGCAUGGCUGUCGUCAGCUCGUGUCGUGAGAUGUUGGGUUAAGUCCCGCAACGAGCGCAACCCUUGUCGUUAAUUGCCAUCAUUUAGUUGGGCACUUUAACGAGACUGCCGGUGACAAACCGGAGGAAGGUGGGGAUGACGUCAAGUCCUCAUGGCCCUUAUGGGUAGGGCUUCACACGUCAUACAAUGGUCGGUACAAAGGGUCGCCAAGCCGCGAGGUGGAGCCAAUCCCAGAAAGCCGAUCGUAGUCCGGAUCGCAGUCUGCAACUCGACUGCGUGAAGUCGGAAUCGCUAGUAAUCGUGGAUCAGAAUGUCACGGUGAAUACGUUCCCGGGUCUUGUACACACCGCCCGUCACACCAUGGGAGCGGGUUCCGCCAGAAGUAGGUAGCCUAACCGCAAGGAGGGCGCUUACCA
Molecule: ribosomal RNA, 1236 nt
Filed under: metagenome
Description: bacterial SSU rRNA
Rfam family: Bacterial small subunit ribosomal RNA
Source: RNAcentral